Molecule: ribosomal RNA, 255 nt
Filed under: uncultured bacterium
Lineage: Bacteria
Description: partial 16S ribosomal RNA
Rfam family: Bacterial small subunit ribosomal RNA
Source: RNAcentral
UACGGAGGGGGCUAGCGUUGUUCGGAAUUACUGGGCGUAAAGCGCGCGCAGGCGGCCCUUUAAGUCCGUCGGUCAAAUGCCGGGGCUCAACCCCGAUGCAUGCCGAGGAUACUGGAGGGCUGGAGACACGUAGAGGCAAGCGGAAUUCCGGGUGUAGCGGUGGAAUGCGUAGAGAUCCGGAAGAACACCGGAGGCGAAGGCGCUCUGCUAGGCCGCAACUGACACUGAGGGACGAAAGCUAGGGGAGCGAAUGGG